Long non-coding RNA from Peromyscus eremicus (cactus mouse), 927 nucleotides. RefSeq lists it as uncharacterized. The transcript is spliced from 3 exons. The record is from RefSeq and is a predicted model, not a curated record. Lineage: Eukaryota; Metazoa; Chordata; Mammalia; Rodentia; Cricetidae.
UGGUGUUACAGCGGGAGGCUAUGGAACCUUUAGAAGCUGGAGCUUAGCCUGGUCCCUGGUUCCAGCACUCUGUGGCUACCUGCUCUGCAUAGCCCCACAGACGGCAUCACCACACAUCCCAGCCGUUACCAUGAGCUGAGUUGCAAUGCCGUGUUUCCUAUGUUAGCUACAGCACCUGCAAACCCUCGGAGGCCAUGAGCUGCAAGCCACCUGUCCUCACUGAAGCUGUUCCCAUGGGAUGCUUUGUCACAGCAGUCAAAGGAGUCCAGCCAGCACUGUUCUUAGCCAUGGAUACAAACUGUGGAGGCAUUUCCUGUUCCAGGUGGUUUGGAGCAGAAAGCCAGCCAGCGUGGGCUGAAGGAAACUGUGAGCAGGCUUGUCUUCUACCACACGGAUCCUCCGAGCCCCGGCCGGAAUGACAGCAGCUUCGAUAUAACCUGUGGUGACAAGAUGACAUACAGCUGAAGCACACCUCAGUCCUGGAUCAGAGGCCCCUCCAGACGCCUCCAUCUAAACUACCCAACCACGCCCCCCUGUGGUGGGCUCAGAGACUGCAGGCUGACACAGGCUGAGAGCGCAAACACCAACUCACACGGAGUUCUUUCUUCUAAGUCUACAAUUUCUUGGCCAUUCAGUUUCUGGAACACUCCACUGGUAUGCAGUCUAUGUUGAGGUGCAAUUCCCUCUCUAGAAGAUGUAUUUUUAAAUCCCAGAACCCAGUCACUCUAGAGGGCAAUGACUACAAUCAGGACGGAGUCCGACCCUGCAGAGCUAUGUAGGUGUCUGUGUGUGCUAGAGUGUGCUGUCAUUUGGAAAUAGGAGAGUUGCCCAUGUAUUUAGCUAAUAUGACGUCCUAUUGGAGUCAGGAGGGCCUUAAUCCAAUAUGACAUGAUACCUUUUUAUUAAAAUUAAAUUUACUUAUUUGUU